Molecule: ribosomal RNA, 465 nt
Filed under: Vreelandella stevensii
Lineage: Bacteria; Pseudomonadati; Pseudomonadota; Gammaproteobacteria; Oceanospirillales; Halomonadaceae
Description: partial 16S ribosomal RNA
Rfam family: Bacterial small subunit ribosomal RNA
Source: RNAcentral
CCUACGGGGGGCAGCAGGGGGGAAUAUUGGACAAUGGGGGCAACCCUGAUCCAGCCAUGCCGCGUGUGUGAAGAAGGCCCUCGGGUUGUAAAGCACUUUCAGUGAGGAAGAACGCCUGGUGGUUAAUACCCAUCAGGAAAGACAUCACUCACAGAAGAAGCACCGGCUAACUCCGUGCCAGCAGCCGCGGUAAUACGGAGGGUGCGAGCGUUAAUCGGAAUUACUGGGCGUAAAGCGCGCGUAGGUGGCUUGAUAAGCCGGUUGUGAAAGCCCCGGGCUCAACCUGGGAACGGCAUCCGGAACUGUCAAGCUAGAGUGCAGGAGAGGAAGGUAGAAUUCCCGGUGUAGCGGUGAAAUGCGUAGAGAUCGGGAGGAAUACCAGUGGCGAAGGCGGCCUUCUGGACUGACACUGACACUGAGGUGCGAAAGCGUGGGUAGCAAACAGGAUUAGAUACCCGAGUAGUC